This 285-nucleotide long non-coding RNA is filed under the name Apteryx haastii (Great spotted kiwi). RNAcentral describes it as "lncRNA (ENSAHAG00000003841.1)". Lineage: Eukaryota; Metazoa; Chordata; Aves; Apterygiformes; Apterygidae. The record is from RNAcentral.
UGCAUGCAGAAAACACAUAAGUAUUCAACAAAAAAAAAUCACCUCAAAUUGUGGCAUAAAGGACCAGUCAACAGCCUGCAUAUAGGGGCAGUGAAGGGAAAUUUCCAUCUGCAAUUGGUCUCCCCCAGUGCGGGAGAAGUGUUGGAUAUCAUUGCAUGUACAAUAAAGAUGUCUGAAUUCAUUGAUCACUGUCUGACCAGCAAGCAUAACAAUCCUGUAGCAAUUUAUUGCAAGUUGGAAGGGGGAGGGAUUCAAGAUUGUCUAAGAAGAAAUCUGUGCAUGUAG